GCUACAGGCUUAACACAUGCAAGUCGAGGGGCAGCAUGGUCUUAGCUUGCUAAGGCCGAUGGCGACCGGCGCACGGGUGAGUAACACGUAUCCAACCUGCCGUCUACUCUUGGACAGCCUUCUGAAAGGAAGAUUAAUACAAGAUGGCAUCAUGAGUCCGCAUGUUCACAUGAUUAAAGGUAUUCCGGUAGACGAUGGGGAUGCGUUCCAUUAGAUAGUAGGCGGGGUAACGGCCCACCUAGUCUUCGAUGGAUAGGGGUUCUGAGAGGAAGGUCCCCCACAUUGGAACUGAGACACGGUCCAAACUCCUACGGGAGGCAGCAGUGAGGAAUAUUGGUCAAUGGGCGAGAGCCUGAACCAGCCAAGUAGCGUGAAGGAUGACUGCCCUAUGGGUUGUAAACUUCUUUUAUAAAGGAAUAAAGUCGGGUAUGGAUACCCGUUUGCAUGUACUUUAUGAAUAAGGAUCGGCUAACUCCGUGCCAGCAGCCGCGGUAAUACGGAGGAUCCGAGCGUUAUCCGGAUUUAUUGGGUUUAGAGGGAGCGUAGAUGGAUGUUUAAGUCAGUUGUGAAAGUUUGCGGCUCAACCGUAAAAUUGCAGUUGAUACUGGAUAUCUUGAGUGCAGUUGAGGCAGGCGGAAUUCGUGGUGUAGCGGUGAAAUGCUUAGAUAUCACGAAGAACUCCGAUUGCGAAGGCAGCCUGCUAAGCUGCAACUGACAUUGAGGCUCGAAAGUGUGGGUAUCAAACAGGAUUAGAUACCCUGGUAGUCCACACGGUAAACGAUGAAUACUCGCUGUUUGCGAUAUACUGCAAGCGGCCAAGCGAAAGCGUUAAGUAUUCCACCUGGGGAGUACGCCGGCAACGGUGAAACUCAAAGGAAUUGACGGGGGCCCGCACAAGCGGAGGAACAUGUGGUUUAAUUCGAUGAUACGCGAGGAACCUUACCCGGGCUUAAAUUGCAGAUGAAUUACGGUGAAAGCCGUAAGCCGCAAGGCAUCUGUGAAGGUGCUGCAUGGUUGUCGUCAGCUCGUGCCGUGAGGUGUCGGCUUAAGUGCCAUAACGAGCGCAACCCUUGUUGUCAGUUACUAACAGGUUCCGCUGAGGACUCUGACAAGACUGCCAUCGUAAGAUGUGAGGAAGGUGGGGAUGACGUCAAAUCAGCACGGCCCUUACGUCCGGGGCUACACACGUGUUACAAUGGGGGGUACAGAGGGUCGCUACCACGCGAGUGGAUGCCAAUCCCCAAAACCUCUCUCAGUUCGGACUGGAGUCUGCAACCCGACUCCACGAAGCUGGAUUCGCUAGUAAUCGCGCAUCAGCCACGGCGCGGUGAAUACGUUCCCGGGCCUUGUACACACCGCCCGUCAAGCCAUGGGAGCCGGGGGUACCUGAAGUGCGUAACCGCGAGGAGCGCCCUAGGGUAAAACUGGUGACUGGGGCUAAGUCAUAACA
This 1450-nucleotide ribosomal RNA is filed under the name uncultured organism. Its description in RNAcentral is "SSU rRNA". It matches the Rfam family "Bacterial small subunit ribosomal RNA". The record is from RNAcentral.